CUUCAGUGAUGACACGAUGACGAGUCAGAAAGGUCACAUCCUGCUCUUGGUCCUUGACAGUGCCAUGUUUUGUGGUGCUGUUCACAGGUUCCUUUUGCAGAAGUGUGUCCUAUUCAUUGAUUGAUUUAGAGGCAUUUGUCUGAGAAGG
This 148-nucleotide small nucleolar RNA is filed under the name Callithrix jacchus (white-tufted-ear marmoset). The record is from RNAcentral. Lineage: Eukaryota; Metazoa; Chordata; Mammalia; Primates; Cebidae.